This 467-nucleotide ribosomal RNA is filed under the name uncultured bacterium. Its description in RNAcentral is "partial 16S ribosomal RNA". It matches the Rfam family "Bacterial small subunit ribosomal RNA", at positions 28 to 507 of the family's 1533-position model. The record is from RNAcentral.
GAUGAACGCUGGCGGCGCGCCUAACACAUGCAAGUCGAACGAUUAAAGCACCUUCGGGUGUGUAUAAAGUGGCGAACGGCUGAGUAACACGUGGGCAACCUGCCCCUUUCAUUGGGAUAGCCACGGGAAACCGUGGAUAAUACCGAAUACUUCGAGACUUCCGCAUGGAAGACUCGAGAAAGCUCCGGCGGAGAGGGAUGGGCCCGCGGCCUGUUAGCUUGUUGGUGAGGUAACGGCCUACCAAGGCAAUGAUGGGUAGCUGGGUUGAGAGACCGACCAGCCAGAUUGGGACUGAGACACGGCCCAGACUCCUACGGGAGGCAGCAGUGGGGAAUCUUGCACAAUGGGCGAAAGCCUGAUGCAGCGACGCCGCGUGCGGGAUGAAGGCCUUCGGGUUGUAAACCGCUUUCAGCAGGGACGAGGCGAAAGUGACGGUACCUGCAGAAGAAGCCCCGGCUAACUACGUG